GUCUGACUAGCUCGAAAGACCUUCUCUUUUACUUGAAUCUUUUCCUCUUUCUGACUAACUUGAGAGACCUUCUCUUUUACUUGAAUCAAUAUGUCUUCUCCUUCCUCUACCUUUGUCUGAACUGAAGGCUUUGGACUAAGCAAACAAGAUGCCAACACCCACAAUGUCAGUGUGCCAACUGGCAGAGUUCCUGGGCUUUUCUUUUCUAUUCUUUUUAAAUCUUCACCAUGAUGGUUCCAUUGUGAUAUAUUUAACAACUCCUCCUUAAAAAGCCAUGGGCUACAUUUUUGUAUUGUAUCAAGGUAUGCCCUGACUGCUCUUGAUUUUACUGAGAUGCCUCCUUCCUCUAACAAUUUACUUAACACUCUUUCAGUUUGUUUUUUACUAAUUUCUGAUCCCAUAUUUCUACUAUAAUACAAC
RNAcentral lists this long non-coding RNA (420 nucleotides) under Marmota monax (woodchuck). The record is from RNAcentral. Lineage: Eukaryota; Metazoa; Chordata; Mammalia; Rodentia; Sciuridae.